Molecule: ribosomal RNA, 497 nt
Filed under: uncultured bacterium
Lineage: Bacteria
Description: partial 16S ribosomal RNA
Rfam family: Bacterial small subunit ribosomal RNA
Source: RNAcentral
GAUGAACGCUGGCGGCGUGCCUAAUACAUGCCAGUCGAGCGAACAGACGAGGAGCUUGCUCCUCUGACGUUAGCGGCGGACGGGUGAGUAACACGUGGAUAACCUACCUAUAAGACUGGGAUAACUUCGGGAAACCGGAGCUAAUACCGGAUAAUAUAUUGAACCGCAUGGUUCAAUAGUGAAAGACGGUUUUGCUGUCACUUAUAGAUGGAUCCGCGCCGCAUUAGCUAGUUGGUAAGGUAACGGCUUACCAAGGCGACGAUGCGUAGCCGACCUGAGAGGGUGAUCGGCCACACUGGAACUGAGACACGGUCCAGACUCCUACGGGAGGCAGCAGUAGGGAAUCUUCCGCAAUGGGCGAAAGCCUGACGGGGCAACGCCGCGUGAGUGAUGAAGGUCUUCGGAUCGUAAAACUCUGUUAUUAGGGAAGAACAAAUGUGUAAGUAACUAUGCACGUCUUGACGGUACCUAAUCAGAAAGCCACGGCUAACUACGUG